GGUUUAAACCCAGUAUCUCAAGGUACUAAGGAGUUCUGACCGGUGAUUAAUUUCGCUGUGUCGAAACCUGAAUUUUUGGGUGGCUUUCUCGGGGUUAUCCGGGAGGCGAU
Non-coding RNA from Heterorhabditis bacteriophora, 110 nucleotides. NCBI's taxonomy places the organism in Eukaryota, Metazoa, Nematoda, Chromadorea, Rhabditida, Heterorhabditidae. The record is from Rfam.